This 71-nucleotide transfer RNA is filed under the name Camelus bactrianus (Bactrian camel). It matches the Rfam family "tRNA". Rfam says of the family: Transfer RNA (tRNA) molecules are approximately 80 nucleotides in length. RNAcentral also lists the same sequence under 1 other name. The record is from Rfam by way of RNAcentral. Lineage: Eukaryota; Metazoa; Chordata; Mammalia; Artiodactyla; Camelidae.
GAGGGCGUAGCUCAGUGGUAGAGCGUGUGCUUAGCAUGCACGAGGUCCUGGGUUCAAUCCCCGUACCUCUG